UGCUGGCGACCGGCGCACGGGUGAGUAACACGUAUCCAACCUGCCGAUAACUCGGGGAUAGCCUUUCGAAAGAAAGAUUAAUACCCGAUGGCAUAAUUAGACCGCAUGGUCUUAUUAUUAAAGAAUUUCGGUUAUCGAUGGGGAUGCGUUCCAUUAGGCAGUUGGUGAGGUAACGGCUCACCAAACCUUCGAUGGAUAGGGGUUCUGAGAGGAAGGUCCCCCACAUUGGAACUGAGACACGGUCCAA
Molecule: ribosomal RNA, 247 nt
Filed under: uncultured bacterium
Lineage: Bacteria
Description: partial 16S ribosomal RNA
Rfam family: Bacterial small subunit ribosomal RNA
Source: RNAcentral